Molecule: long non-coding RNA, 1845 nt
Filed under: Hordeum vulgare
Lineage: Eukaryota; Viridiplantae; Streptophyta; Magnoliopsida; Poales; Poaceae
Description: long non-coding RNA (HVUL_LNC017067)
Source: RNAcentral
UCAGGUUCAGGUUUUGUAACCUAAUUGAGAUUCACAAAUAGGAGUAUGUGCGAUCUAUAGAACUACAGCGGCAGAACUCCGGAUCAAUGGCAGCCCUCGGAGCAUGGUCAUGAUCUGUCGAAACGCGUGGGCGCGGAUGCGCGGAACCUGUGAUCGGACGACGUACGCGGCCACCUCGGAUUCCCCGUCGCCUCCAGCGGCGCCACCAAGAUCCACCGACGGUAACCCAGCCCGACUCACUCCCCCUUUCUCUCCUCCGAUUUGGUAAGAGCUGGAAGUCUCUGUGUUAAAUCUCGGUCGUGCGCUGGAUGCGGAUGUGAUGCAUGUCGUGUCCGGCGUCGUCCUACCGUCGCCACUGCCCGGGACACAUCAGGUGGCAAGCUUUUGUUGGCCAAGGAGGCACCGAUGUGCGGGGACACGUGUGCCGGUGGACAAGGCGCUGGCGGCGGCCAGCAAGGACAGGUCCUCUCGUCUUGUAUAGGCCUGAGGCUGCGCACAACCUCCUACCCGGCACGCUCCGGCCGUGUGUCCCCCUGCGUUAGUGACGACUGAUCGACAGGCUCAAUGGUACGUACGUGCAGAUGUGCUUAUUGAUGUUCCUGAUGCCUCUAGUCCUCCAUUUGCGUAAGGAGAUUUUUUCACGUUAGGUUUGAUUCAUGUCAAUUGUUGUUGCAGAAACCCUUGAGCAGAAUCUAAGCCUGGCAAAGACCGGGUUUUCGCCGGCUGAUCGGCUGCCUCCAUGGACUAGCCGAAUCGUCGUAGUCGUCUGACUUCAGGCGCUGAACGAUCUGGGACACCAAGGCCUACAGCCCUACACUUCAGGGAAGCUCAGUCAUGUCAUCAUGGUAAAGAUUUUCAACUUAAUCCUACCCAAAAGGAAGCGAGGCCUUUUUCGUGUCAGUCUACCUUGAACUUGACAAGAACAACUUCAUUAAAAUAUAGUAACACCAUAAUGUUCCGGAGGAAACAAAUAAAGUUGCGCUGCCUCUGUAGAGAAUUCCUUCUCUAAUAUAAGUAUACUACAAUGCUGGACGCACUUCAGGUUGCAAUACAUCAUUGAUCAGCGAUUCACAGGUCGCAAGGAGCUUUUUGGCUGCAGUGGAGAAUGCUUGUGCCCCGAUCUCAACAUGCAAGUGUAUUAUUUGAUUAAUUAGUCAGCAUGAGUACACUUAUCAGCACCAGUUGCUUAAGAAACACGAAAUUGGGAUGAAGGGUUCGAUUUCCGUACAUCACAAAGUAGCUGCAGUAUCCUUUGUGUUAAAACAUUAAUAUUUACUCCCUCUGUAAACUAUUAUAAAAGCGUUUAGAUUAUUAAGAUAAUGAUCUAAAUUCUCUUAUAUUAGUUUAUGGAGGGAGUACUGAGCUAUAAAUCAUUUAUGUUUUACUAGAACAGACCAUCCAGUGCGAUCGAAGAAAAGUCAAUGAUGAGGUGCAAGAAGUGAAAUAUCUUAUGAUUGAUAGAUUUCUAAGUGAUAGUUCUUCUGAAAGCCAGUAUGACCACGUAAGUUCUCAUACAUUGAUUAUAUAUGCUACGCACUAAAUAUUGUGCCAAUUUAUUUAUAAGGACUAACUUUUAUGAACUAAACAUUUUGUAGGACUGACGGUCCAUCAUAAUAUAUAGAAGCAACAAGGGCAUUGUAAUCGCUGAUGAAGAAUGAUGUCCAUUCAAACAAUGACGGCGUCCCUCGAUUGAAGAUUAAUAAAUUCUCAUUUCUUAGAUAGAUAUGCGCAAGUACAUUAUUCAUAUAAGGAGUGCUUUUGACUCAAAUUUAUUAAAUGAUAUUUUAAUUUCAGAAUUGUAUGUCAAAAUUUUGGUAUUUCUAUUAAUAAAAGAGGUUGCGAUCA